CAGCCUCCGCGGUAAUACCGGCGGCCCGAGUGGCGGUCACUAUUAUUGGGCUUAAAGCGUCCGUAGCCGGGUUGGGAAGUCCUCCGGGAAAUCUGGCCGCUUAACGGUCAGAAUGCCGGAGGAUACUCCCAGCCUAGGGAGCGGGAGAGGCCGAGGGGAUUCCCGGGGUGGGGGGGAAAUCCUAUAAUCCCGGGAGGACCACCUGUGGCGAAGGCGCUCGGCUGGAACGCGUCCGACGGUGAGGGACGAAGGCCAGGGGAGCAAACCGGAUUAGAUACCCGGGUAGUCCUGGCUGUAAACGAUGCGGACUUUGUGUCGGACAAGCUAUGAGCUUGUCCGGUGCCGGAGGGAAACCGUUAAGUCCGCCGCCUGGGGAGUACGGCCGCAAGGCUGAAACUUAAAGGAAUUGGCGGG
This 414-nucleotide ribosomal RNA is filed under the name uncultured microorganism. RNAcentral's name for it is "bacterial SSU rRNA". It matches the Rfam family "Archaeal small subunit ribosomal RNA", at positions 459 to 872 of the family's 1478-position model. The record is from RNAcentral.